CACGGAGUUAGCCGGUGCUUAUUCCUCGGGUACCGUCGGCUAUAGUAGAAACCAUAGUUUUCUUCCCCGGUAAAAGAAGUUUACAACCCGGAGGGCCUUCAUCCUUCACGCGGCAUGGCUGGUUCAGACUUGCGUCCAUUGACCAAUAUUCCUCACUGCUGCCUCCCGUAGGAGUCGGGCCCGUGUCUCAGUGCCCGUGUGGCUGGUCGUGCUCUCACACCAGCUACCCAUCGUCGCCUUGGUAGGCCGUUACCCUACCAACUAGCUAAUGGGACGCACACUCAUCUUUAUCCACCGGAGUUUUAAUAGUUAAGAAAUGCUUCUCUGCUAUUUUAUGGGGGAUUAAUCCGAAUUUCUUCGGGCUAUACCCCAGAUAAAGGUAGAUUGUGUACGUGUUCCGCACCCGUUUGCCGGUCGCCAACAGGUAUUGCUACCCUUGCUGCCCCUCGACUUGCAUGUGUUAAGCCUGCCGCUAGCGUUCAUCCUGAGCCAGGAUCAAACUCU
Molecule: ribosomal RNA, 504 nt
Filed under: uncultured Chitinophagaceae bacterium
Lineage: Bacteria; Pseudomonadati; Bacteroidota; Chitinophagia; Chitinophagales; Chitinophagaceae
Description: partial 16S ribosomal RNA
Source: RNAcentral